GACGGAGGAUGCAAGCGUUAUCCGGAAUUAUUGGGCGUAAAGCGUCCGCAGGUGGCUGUUCAAGUCUGCUGUCAAAGCGCAGAGCUUAACUCUGUACAGGCGGUGGAAACUGAAGAGCUAGAGUAUGGUAGGGGUAGAGGGAAUUCCCGGUGUAGCGGUGAAAUGCGUAGAUAUCGGGAAGAACACCAGUGGCGAAAGCGCUCUACUGGGCCGAUACUGACGCUGAGGAGCGAAAGCGUGGGGAGCAAACAGG
RNAcentral lists this ribosomal RNA (253 nucleotides) under uncultured bacterium. Its description in RNAcentral is "partial 16S ribosomal RNA". It matches the Rfam family "Bacterial small subunit ribosomal RNA", at positions 524 to 776 of the family's 1533-position model. The record is from RNAcentral.